UUGGAGGGCAAGUCUGGUGCCAGCAGCCGCGGUAAUUCCAGCUCCAAUAGCGUAUAUUAAAGUUGUUGCAGUUAAAAAGCUCGUAGUUGAAUUUCGGGAUCAAUACGUCGGUCGUGCUUUCGGGUACGUACUGGCGUCAUUGGUUUCUCCUUUCUGACGAACCAUGAUGUCAUUAAUUUGGUGUUAUGGGGAGUUAGGGCUGUUACUUUGAAAAAAUUAGAGUGUUUAAAGCAGGCUUAGGCUUGAAUACAUUAGCAUGGAAUAAUGAAAUAGGACGUUUGAACCUAUUUUGUUGGUUUCUAGGAUCGACGUAAUGAUUAAUAGGGAUAGUUGGGGGCAUUAGUAUUCAAUUGUCAGAGGUGAAAUUCUUGGAUUUAUUGAAGACUAACUACUGCGAAAGCAUUUGCCAAGGAUGUUUUCAUUAAUCAAGAACGAAAGUUAGGGGAUCGAAGACGAUCAGAUACCGUCGUAGUCUUAWCCAUAAACUAUGCCGACUAGGGAUCGGAUGAUGUUAAUUUUUUAAUGACUCAUUCGGCGCCUUACGGGAAAC
RNAcentral lists this ribosomal RNA (550 nucleotides) under uncultured Glomeromycotina. Its description in RNAcentral is "SSU rRNA". It matches the Rfam family "Eukaryotic small subunit ribosomal RNA", at positions 550 to 1109 of the family's 1831-position model. Lineage: Eukaryota; Fungi; Glomeromycota. The record is from RNAcentral.